ACAGCAGUAGCCACGGUAAGACGAACCGUGCAAACGUUACUCGGAAUCACUGGGCUUAAAGCGCACGUAGGCGGCGACAUAAGUUAGAGGUGAAAUCCCAUCGGCUCAACCGUGGAACUGCCUCUAAUACUGUGUUGCUUGAGGGAGAACGGGGCAUUCGGAACUUCCGGUGGAGCGGUGAGAUGUGUUGAUAUCGGAAGGAACGCCGGUGGCGAAAGCGGAAUGCUGGGUCUCUUCUGACGCUGAGGUGCGAAAGCUAGGGUAGCGAACGGGAUUAGAUACCCCGGUAGUCCCUGUCUCUUAUA
Molecule: ribosomal RNA, 305 nt
Filed under: uncultured bacterium
Lineage: Bacteria
Description: partial 16S ribosomal RNA
Rfam family: Bacterial small subunit ribosomal RNA
Source: RNAcentral